GAUUAACGCUAGCGGCAGGCCUAAUACAUGCAAGUCGAACGGCAGCGGGUGUAGCAAUACAUGCCGGCGAGUGGCGCACGGGUGCGUAACGCGUAUGCAAUCUACCUGUAACUGGGGAAUAGCCUUCCGAAAGGAAGAUUAAUACCGCAUAACAUCAUGAAGUGGCAUCAUUUUAUGAUCAAAACUCCGGUGGUUACAGAUGAGCAUGCGUGACAUUAGCUAGUUGGUGAGGUAACGGCUCACCAAGGCGACGAUGUCUAGGGGGUCUGAGAGGAUGAUCCCCCACACUGGUACUGAGACACGGACCAGACUCCUACGGGAGGCAGCAGUAAGGAAUAUUGGACAAUGGCCGCAAGGCUGAUCCAGCCAUGCCGCGUGCAGGAUGAAGGUGCUCUGCAUUGUAAACUGCUUUUGUCGGGAAUAACCCUUUCACGUGUGAGAGGUUGAAUGUACCGAAAGAAUAAGGGACGGCUUAACG
Molecule: ribosomal RNA, 478 nt
Filed under: uncultured bacterium
Lineage: Bacteria
Description: bacterial SSU rRNA
Rfam family: Bacterial small subunit ribosomal RNA
Source: RNAcentral